UUCGCAAUGCCCGAAAGGGUGACGAAGCGACGCCGCGUGGGUGAGGAAGGCCUUCGGGUUGUAAAGCCCUGUCAGGAGUUAAGAAAUGCAGGUAUGCUAAUAUCAUGCCUGCUUGACAAAGGCUCCAAAGGAAGCCACGGCUAACUCUGUGCCAGCAGCCGCGGUAAUACAGAGGUGGCAAGCGUUGUUCGGAAUUAUUGGGCGUAAAGAGCACGUAGGUGGAUUUGUAAGUCAGAUGUGAAAGCCUUCUGUUCAACGGAAGAAUUGCAUCUGAAACCACAGACCUUGAGUAUAGGAGGGGAGAAUGGAACUUCUGGUGGAGCGGUGAAAUGCGUAGAUAUCAGAAGGAACGCCGGCGGCGAAAGCGACUCUCUGGACCGAAACUGACGCUGAGUGUGCGAAAGCUAGGGGAGCAAACGGGAUUAGAUACCCCGGUAGUCCUAGCCGUAAACGAUGGGCACUAAGUAGAGGGGUUUUGAUUAUCUCUCUGCCGGAGCUAACGCAUUAAGUGCCCCGCCUGGGGAGUACGGCCGCAAGGCUAAAACUCAAAAGAAUUGACGGGGGCUCGCACAAGCGGUGGAGCAUGUGGCUUAAUUCGAUGCAACGCGAAGAACCUUACCGGGGCUUGACAUGAUAGAAGUAGAAACCCGAAAGGGCGACGAACGGUAUCCAAUCCGUAACUAUCACAGGUGUUGCAUGGCUGUCGUCAGCUCGUGUCGUGAGACGUUGGGUUAAGUCCCCUAACGAGCGAAACCCUUGUCUUUAGUUGCCAUCAGGUUAAGCUGGGCACUCUAAAGAGACUGCCGUCGUUAAGACGGAGGAAGGUGGGGAUGACGUCAAGUCAUCAUGGCCCUUAUAUCCAGGGCUACACACGUGCUACAAUGGCCGGUACAAUGUGUUGCGAGACAGCGAUGUCAAGCCAAUCACAAAAAGCCGGUCUAAGUUCGGAUUGGAGUCUGCAACUCGACUCCAUGAAGCUGGAAUCGCUAGUAAUCGCGUGUCAGCAUAACGCGGUGAAUACGUUCCCGGGCCUUGUACACACCGCCCGUG
This 1050-nucleotide ribosomal RNA is filed under the name uncultured Planctomycetota bacterium. RNAcentral describes it as "bacterial SSU rRNA". It matches the Rfam family "Bacterial small subunit ribosomal RNA", at positions 365 to 1398 of the family's 1533-position model. Lineage: Bacteria; Pseudomonadati; Planctomycetota. The record is from RNAcentral.